RNAcentral lists this long non-coding RNA (230 nucleotides) under Spirodela polyrhiza (greater duckweed). Its description in RNAcentral is "long non-coding RNA (SPOL_LNC000473)". The record is from RNAcentral. Lineage: Eukaryota; Viridiplantae; Streptophyta; Magnoliopsida; Alismatales; Araceae.
CUCUUUGUUGUUCUCUUGCUACAACUUCUAAAUGCCUUUUGAUCCCAAAGUUGUGGCCAUUAGUAGGAUCUAUCAUGGACUUAUCAUGCUCUACAUUCAUAACAUGAGAUACAUUGCAUUUGUUAGCUCUUCCUCAACCCCACUCUAUAUUUGGGAUUACUUAAUGCAUUGAUUUGAGAUUAGAAAACUCUAUGACACUGGACUAUCUAAAGGUGGACUUAUUCUUUAAC